UACGGAGGAUGCGAGCGUUAUCCGGAUUCAUUGGGUUUAAAGGGUGCGCAGGCGGGCGUAUAAGUCAGGGGUGAAAUGCCACGGCUCAACCGUGGAACUGCCUUUGAUACUGUAUGUCUUGAGUUUAGUUGAAGUGGGCGGAAUGUAGCAUGUAGCGGUGAAAUGCAUAGAGAUGCUACAGAACACCGAUAGCGAAGGCAGCUCACUAAGUUAAGACUGACGCUCAUGCACGAAAGCGUGGGGAUCAAACAGGAUUAGAAACCCUAGUAGUCC
This 273-nucleotide ribosomal RNA is filed under the name uncultured prokaryote. Its description in RNAcentral is "partial 16S ribosomal RNA". It matches the Rfam family "Bacterial small subunit ribosomal RNA", at positions 524 to 796 of the family's 1533-position model. The record is from RNAcentral.